UCUCCGUUGGUGAACCAGCGGAGGGAUCAUUACCGAGUUUCCAAACUCCAAACCCUUUUUAAACUUUACCUUUUGUUGCUUCGGCGGGAUCGCCCUCGCGCUCCACGGCGCCGGUUCGCAGGCGCCCGCCGGACGCCAAAACCUCUUGUUUAUUUAUGUUUCGUCUCCCAGUGUCACAAGCAAAAUAAAUCAAAACUUUCAACAACGGAUCUCUUGGUUCUG
Molecule: unclassified non-coding RNA, 222 nt
Filed under: plant metagenome
Description: partial contains small subunit ribosomal RNA, internal transcribed spacer 1, and 5.8S ribosomal RNA
Source: RNAcentral